CAACAAUGGUUCUAGCUUUGGACCUGUGCCC
Molecule: non-coding RNA, 31 nt
Filed under: Homo sapiens (human)
Lineage: Eukaryota; Metazoa; Chordata; Mammalia; Primates; Hominidae
Source: RNAcentral